UACGGGUGGCUGCAGUGGGGAAUAUUGGACAAUGGGCGAAAGCCUGAUCCAGCCAUGCCGCGUGUGUGAAGAAGGCCUUCGGGUUGUAAAGCACUUUCAGUGGGGAAGAAAGCCUUGGGGCUAAUACCCUCGAGGAAGGACAUCACCCACAGAAGAAGCACCGGCUAACUCCGUGCCAGCAGCCGCGGUAAUACGGAGGGUGCGAGCGUUAAUCGGAAUUACUGGGCGUAAAGCGCGCGUAGGCGGUCUGAUAAGCCGGUUGUGAAAGCCCCGGGCUCAACCUGGGAACGGCAUCCGGAACUGUCAGGCUAGAGUGCAGGAGAGGAAGGUAGAAUUCCCGGUGUAGCGGUGAAAUGCGUAGAGAUCGGGAGGAAUACCAGUGGCGAAGGCGGCCUUCUGGACUGACACUGACGCUGAGGUGCGAAAGCGUGGGCAGCAAACAGGAUUAGAUACCCUAGUAGUC
RNAcentral lists this ribosomal RNA (463 nucleotides) under Vreelandella stevensii. Its description in RNAcentral is "partial 16S ribosomal RNA". It matches the Rfam family "Bacterial small subunit ribosomal RNA", at positions 340 to 795 of the family's 1533-position model. Lineage: Bacteria; Pseudomonadati; Pseudomonadota; Gammaproteobacteria; Oceanospirillales; Halomonadaceae. The record is from RNAcentral.